This is a non-coding RNA of Caenorhabditis elegans, 21 nucleotides long. The record is from Ensembl. Lineage: Eukaryota; Metazoa; Nematoda; Chromadorea; Rhabditida; Rhabditidae.
UAAUAGGCGUCUUUCAAUUCA